GCCCAGGUGGCGGAAUUGGCAGACGCGCUAGAUUUAGGCUCUAGUACCGAGAGGUGUGGGGGUUCGACUCCCCCCCUGGGCACCA
RNAcentral lists this transfer RNA (85 nucleotides) under Pelagicoccus mobilis. Its description in RNAcentral is "tRNA-Leu". It matches the Rfam family "tRNA". Rfam says of the family: Transfer RNA (tRNA) molecules are approximately 80 nucleotides in length. RNAcentral also lists the same sequence under 2 other names. The record is from RNAcentral. Lineage: Bacteria; Pseudomonadati; Verrucomicrobiota; Opitutia; Puniceicoccales; Pelagicoccaceae.